RNAcentral lists this transfer RNA (358 nucleotides) under uncultured Microcystis sp. RNAcentral's name for it is "partial 16S-23S ribosomal RNA intergenic spacer". The stretch from base 133 to 206 matches the Rfam family "tRNA". The record is from RNAcentral. Lineage: Bacteria; Bacillati; Cyanobacteriota; Cyanophyceae; Chroococcales; Microcystaceae.
AAGGGAGACCUAAUUCCGGUAGGAGACGAAAAAAAAGUAGUCCCAACCAAGAAUCAAUCCCAAAAGGUCGGAACGAGGUAUGAGGCUUUCAAACUAGGUUCUGGGUUCGUAAAAGAUCUGAAUCAGGAACAAGGGCUAUUAGCUCAGGUGGUUAGAGCGCACCCCUGAUAAGGGUGAGGUCCCUGGUUCGAGUCCAGGAUGGCCCACCUGCACAGGUGGCAAAAACAAGAGAAGCUCCGAAUCAGCACCUUAUCUUAUAUACAUAUAUAAGAGAGAAUGCUGGCUCUGAGUACAGAGUCCAGAGGAACCUUGAAAACUGCAUAGAGCUAGGUGAAAAAGCCAAAAAAGAAGACCGCAA